AAUUGUUCGCAAUGGGCGCAAGCCUGACGACGCAACGCCGCGUGGAGGAUGAAGACCCUCGGGUCGUAAACUCCUUUCGACCGAGAUGAACAUCCAUGGGGCUAAUACCCCCGUGGACUGACAGUAUCGGGAGAAGAAGCCCCGGCUAACUCCGUGCCAGCAGCCGCGGUAAUACGGGGGGGGGCAAGCGUGGUUCGGAAUUACUGGGCGUAAAGGGUCCGUAGGCGGCCAACUAAGUCAGACGUGAAAUCCCCCGGCUUAACCGGGGAACUGCGUCUGAUACUGGUUGGCUUGAGUGCAGGAGAGGAACGCGGAAUUCCAGGUGUAGUGGUGAAAUGCGUAGAUAUCGGGAGGAAUACCCGUGGCGAAGGCGACCUUCUGGACCGUUUCUGACGCUCAGAUGCGAAAGCCAGGGGAGCGAACGGG
This 426-nucleotide ribosomal RNA is filed under the name uncultured bacterium. RNAcentral describes it as "partial 16S ribosomal RNA". It matches the Rfam family "Bacterial small subunit ribosomal RNA", at positions 360 to 776 of the family's 1533-position model. The record is from RNAcentral.